GGCGUGGCUAAAACAUGCAAGUCGAACGAAACUGUUUUUGGGUAACUGAUGACAGUUUAGUGGCGAAAGGGUGAGUAAUGCAUGGGUAACGUACCCCGAGCUCCGGGAAAGCAGCAUCUGCCUUCGGGCAGAUUUCCGAAAGGGCUGGUAAUACCGGAUGUGGUCGAGAUUACUACGGUUUUUUCGAUCAAAGGUGGGGACCUUCGGGCCUACUGGCUCGGGAGCGGCCCAUGUCCCAUCAGCUUGUUGGUAAGGUAACGGCUUACCAAGGCUGCGACGGGUACCGGGGCUGAGAGGCUGAUCCGGCACAUUGGGACUGAGACACUGCCCAGACCCCCACGGGGGGCUGCAGUAACGAAUAUUCCGCAAUGGGCGAAAGCCUGACGGAGCGACGCCCCGUGUGGGAUGAAGUCCCUCGGGAUGUAAACCACUGUCAGGGCUACGGAAGCAAUACACCUUAAUACGGUGAGGCGCUGACCUACCCCAAAGGAAGCCACGGCUAACUUCGUGCCAGCAGCCGCGGUAAUACGAAGGUGGCGAGCGUUGUUCGGAUUCAUUGGGCUUAAAGCGCACGUAGGCGGCCGGUCAAGCAUCCUGUGAAAUCCCUCGGCUUAACUGAGGAAUUGCGGGGUGAACUGAUCGGCUUGAGCUGCACAUGGGCGACUGGAACUCCAGGUGGAGCGGUGAAAUGCGUAGAUAUCUGGAGGAACGCCAGUGGUGAAAACGGGUCGCUGGGUGCAUUCUGACGCUGAGGUGCGAAAGCGUGGGUAGCGAACGGGAUUAGAUACCCCGGUAGUCCACGCCGUAAACGAUGGGUACUAGGUUCGGGUGAGUCUGACCUCCUCCGUGCCGAAGCAAAAGUGAUAAGUACCCCGCCUGGGGAGUACGGUCGCAAGGCUAAAACUCAAAGGAAUUGACGGGGGCUCACACAAGCGGUGGAGCAUGUGGCUCAAUUCGAGCAACGCGAAGAACCUUAUCCUGGGCUUGACAUGGUUGGAUGCCCUUGGUGAAAGCCAAGUAAGCUGCCUUCGGGUGAAACUACCACAGGUGCUGCGUGGCUGUCGUCAGCUCGUGCUGUGAAGUGUUGGGUUAAGUCCCCUAACGAGCGAAACCCUUGUCUCUAGUUACCAUCGGGUCAUGCCGGGGACUCUAGAGAGACUGCCGGUGUUAAACCGGAGGAAGGUGGGGAUGACGUCAAGUCCUCAUGGCCUUUAUGCCCAGGGCUGCACACGC
Molecule: ribosomal RNA, 1233 nt
Filed under: metagenome
Description: bacterial SSU rRNA
Rfam family: Bacterial small subunit ribosomal RNA
Source: RNAcentral